GAAUUCACUCCCAUUAACUUCAGAUCUUCUCCAAUUGAGCUGCUUUAUUUCACAGGUUCCGAGCCCUGCUCUUGGGGAAAAAAAAAAAAAAAAAAAAAAGCCUCUCUAUUCUUUUUUGCAUAGUAGUGUAAAAGAAUCCCUAACUACUGAACCAUGAUACAGUCUUUCACUGCAACCAGUUUCUGAGGGAGAAAGCUCUAAAUAAUUAUAAAAGUAUAAUGAACAUUGCUACUAAAUGCUAACUAAAUGCCUCAUUGGAAAAUUUGAAAGGCAUUAAUUCAGACAACAGUUUCUCUUUAUCUCCUAUAUUUCCUGGUUCUAAUUCCUCUUUUUUUUUAUUUAUUAGUAUAGUAAUUUGCAUGAAAGAAGCAUCAUUGUUUCUUUAAUAUUCAUUUCCUUUUUCUCAUUUAGGGCAUCAUUCUGCUUCGCUGAAAACAAUGGCAAUCUUACUGGUUGACUUCAGGAAAGUAGGCCUGACAAUGAGAAAUGUUGGAUGUCUUCAAGCCCCACUGAAGUCAGACGUCCGGUAACAGCCCUCAGAGUCCUUUCAGAUCAGAAUCCCUAAAGUGCAACUUCCUUUGUGUGACUUAACAAUUUGCUAUUGCAUAAGUGCUGAUUACGUCAUAAGGGAUUAUGACUUUAUGCACAGAGUAAGCAACAAAGGUAGAUGGAUUUCUAAGUCCACUCUUUCCCCAGUCCUCUCUUUUCAUGCAAAUAGCUCUGAUUAUACCAAAUAGCAAGAGAAAGCAGAAAAUGCAUGUCACAGAAAAGCAAGUUCCUCAAAAAUGUGCUGGACUCCACUCCCUGAAGCAGGGUUGAACAUUCAGGGAAGUAUUGACCACAUCUUCCUCCCUGCUGGGAAGAUCCUACCACUGUCUGGGAAAUCUUAAAAUUAUGAAACAGAAAGUAAAGAUAU
RNAcentral lists this long non-coding RNA (916 nucleotides) under Anser brachyrhynchus (Pink-footed goose). RNAcentral describes it as "lncRNA (ENSABRG00000006610.1)". The record is from RNAcentral. Lineage: Eukaryota; Metazoa; Chordata; Aves; Anseriformes; Anatidae.